This 487-nucleotide ribosomal RNA is filed under the name uncultured Eubacteriales bacterium. Its description in RNAcentral is "bacterial SSU rRNA". It matches the Rfam family "Bacterial small subunit ribosomal RNA", at positions 32 to 521 of the family's 1533-position model. The record is from RNAcentral. Lineage: Bacteria; Bacillati; Bacillota; Clostridia; Eubacteriales.
AACGCUGGCGGCGUGCGUAACACAUGCAAGUCGAACGAGAAUGUACUGACAGAUCCUUAGGGUGAAGAUAGUACAGGACAGUGGCGGAUGGGUGAGUAACGCGUAAGAAACCUGCCUUUCACACCGGGAUAGCAGCUGGAAACGGCUAUUAAUACCGGAUGACACUUUUUCCCCGCAUGAGGAAGAGGUUAAAGAAUUUCGGUGAAAGAUGGUCUUGCGUCUGAUUAGCUAGUUGGUGGGGUAACGGCCUACCAAGGCGACGAUCAGUAGCCGGCCUGAGAGGGUGUACGGCCACAUUGGGACUGAGACACGGCCCAAACUCCUACGGGAGGCAGCAGUGGGGAAUUUUGCACAAUGGAGGAAACUCUGAUGCAGCGACGCCGCGUGAACGAAGAAGGUCUUCGGAUUGUAAAGUUCUGUCCUGGGUGAAGAUAAUGACGGUAACUCAGGAGGAAGCCCCGGCUAACUACGUGCCAGCCGCCGCGGU